GCCGAGGUGGCGAAAUUGGCAGACGCGUACGGUUUAGGACCGUAUGGGGAAACCCUUGGAGGUUCGAUUCCUCUCCUCGGCACAA
This 85-nucleotide transfer RNA is filed under the name Candidatus Gottesmanbacteria bacterium RBG_16_37_8. RNAcentral describes it as "tRNA-Leu". It matches the Rfam family "tRNA". From Rfam's summary of the family: Transfer RNA (tRNA) molecules are approximately 80 nucleotides in length. Their secondary structure includes four short double-helical elements and three loops (D, anti-codon, and T loops). Further hydrogen bonds mediate the characteristic L-shaped molecular structure. tRNAs have two regions of fundamental functional importance: the anti-codon, which is responsible for specific mRNA codon recognition, and the 3' end, to which the tRNAs corresponding amino acid is attached (by aminoacyl-tRNA synthetases). tRNAs cope with the degeneracy of the genetic code in two manners: having more than one tRNA (with a specific anti-codon) for a particular amino acid; and 'wobble' base-pairing, i.e. permitting non-standard base-pairing at the 3rd anti-codon position. Lineage: Bacteria; Candidatus Gottesmaniibacteriota. The record is from RNAcentral.